UGAACGCUGGCGGCGUGCUUAACACAUGCAAGUCGAACGGAAAGGCCCAAGCUUGCUUGGGUACUCGAGUGGCGAACGGGUGAGUAACACGUGGGUGAUCUGCCCUGCACUUCGGGAUAAGCCUGGGAAACUGGGUCUAAUACCGGAUAGGACCACUUCUUGGAUGUUGUGGUGGAAAGUUUUUUCGGUGUGGGAUGAGCUCGCGGCCUAUCAGCUUGUUGGUGGGGUAAUGGCCUACCAAGGCGUCGACGGGUAGCCGGCCUGAGAGGGUGUACGGCCACAUUGGGACUGAGAUACGGCCCAGACUCCUACGGGAGGCAGCAGUGGGGAAUAUUGCACAAUGGGCGCAAGCCUGAUGCAGCGACGCCGCGUGGGGGAUGACGGCCUUCGGGUUGUAAACUCCUUUCGCUAGGGACGAAGCGUUUUUGUGACGGUACCUGGAGAAGAAGCACCGGCUAACUACGUG
Molecule: ribosomal RNA, 466 nt
Filed under: uncultured bacterium
Lineage: Bacteria
Description: partial 16S ribosomal RNA
Rfam family: Bacterial small subunit ribosomal RNA
Source: RNAcentral